Molecule: ribosomal RNA, 2902 nt
Filed under: Escherichia coli
Lineage: Bacteria; Pseudomonadati; Pseudomonadota; Gammaproteobacteria; Enterobacterales; Enterobacteriaceae
Description: bacterial LSU rRNA
Rfam family: Bacterial large subunit ribosomal RNA
Source: RNAcentral
UUAAGCGACUAAGCGUACACGGUGGAUGCCCUGGCAGUCAGAGGCGAUGAAGGACGUGCUAAUCUGCGAUAAGCGUCGGUAAGGUGAUAUGAACCGUUAUAACCGGCGAUUUCCGAAUGGGGAAACCCAGUGUGUUUCGACACACUAUCAUUAACUGAAUCCAUAGGUUAAUGAGGCGAACCGGGGGAACUGAAACAUCUAAGUACCCCGAGGAAAAGAAAUCAACCGAGAUUCCCCCAGUAGCGGCGAGCGAACGGGGAGCAGCCCAGAGCCUGAAUCAGUGUGUGUGUUAGUGGAAGCGUCUGGAAAGGCGCGCGAUACAGGGUGACAGCCCCGUACACAAAAAUGCACAUGCUGUGAGCUCGAUGAGUAGGGCGGGACACGUGGUAUCCUGUCUGAAUAUGGGGGGACCAUCCUCCAAGGCUAAAUACUCCUGACUGACCGAUAGUGAACCAGUACCGUGAGGGAAAGGCGAAAAGAACCCCGGCGAGGGGAGUGAAAAAGAACCUGAAACCGUGUACGUACAAGCAGUGGGAGCACGCUUAGGCGUGUGACUGCGUACCUUUUGUAUAAUGGGUCAGCGACUUAUAUUCUGUAGCAAGGUUAACCGAAUAGGGGAGCCGAAGGGAAACCGAGUCUUAACUGGGCGUUAAGUUGCAGGGUAUAGACCCGAAACCCGGUGAUCUAGCCAUGGGCAGGUUGAAGGUUGGGUAACACUAACUGGAGGACCGAACCGACUAAUGUUGAAAAAUUAGCGGAUGACUUGUGGCUGGGGGUGAAAGGCCAAUCAAACCGGGAGAUAGCUGGUUCUCCCCGAAAGCUAUUUAGGUAGCGCCUCGUGAAUUCAUCUCCGGGGGUAGAGCACUGUUUCGGCAAGGGGGUCAUCCCGACUUACCAACCCGAUGCAAACUGCGAAUACCGGAGAAUGUUAUCACGGGAGACACACGGCGGGUGCUAACGUCCGUCGUGAAGAGGGAAACAACCCAGACCGCCAGCUAAGGUCCCAAAGUCAUGGUUAAGUGGGAAACGAUGUGGGAAGGCCCAGACAGCCAGGAUGUUGGCUUAGAAGCAGCCAUCAUUUAAAGAAAGCGUAAUAGCUCACUGGUCGAGUCGGCCUGCGCGGAAGAUGUAACGGGGCUAAACCAUGCACCGAAGCUGCGGCAGCGACGCUUAUGCGUUGUUGGGUAGGGGAGCGUUCUGUAAGCCUGUGAAGGUGUGCUGUGAGGCAUGCUGGAGGUAUCAGAAGUGCGAAUGCUGACAUAAGUAACGAUAAAGCGGGUGAAAAGCCCGCUCGCCGGAAGACCAAGGGUUCCUGUCCAACGUUAAUCGGGGCAGGGUGAGUCGACCCCUAAGGCGAGGCCGAAAGGCGUAGUCGAUGGGAAACAGGUUAAUAUUCCUGUACUUGGUGUUACUGCGAAGGGGGGACGGAGAAGGCUAUGUUGGCCGGGCGACGGUUGUCCCGGUUUAAGCGUGUAGGCUGGUUUUCCAGGCAAAUCCGGAAAAUCAAGGCUGAGGCGUGAUGACGAGGCACUACGGUGCUGAAGCAACAAAUGCCCUGCUUCCAGGAAAAGCCUCUAAGCAUCAGGUAACAUCAAAUCGUACCCCAAACCGACACAGGUGGUCAGGUAGAGAAUACCAAGGCGCUUGAGAGAACUCGGGUGAAGGAACUAGGCAAAAUGGUGCCGUAACUUCGGGAGAAGGCACGCUGAUAUGUAGGUGAAGUCCCUCGCGGAUGGAGCUGAAAUCAGUCGAAGAUACCAGCUGGCUGCAACUGUUUAUUAAAAACACAGCACUGUGCAAACACGAAAGUGGACGUAUACGGUGUGACGCCUGCCCGGUGCCGGAAGGUUAAUUGAUGGGGUCAGCGCAAGCGAAGCUCUUGAUCGAAGCCCCGGUAAACGGCGGCCGUAACUAUAACGGUCCUAAGGUAGCGAAAUUCCUUGUCGGGUAAGUUCCGACCUGCACGAAUGGCGUAAUGAUGGCCAGGCUGUCUCCACCCGAGACUCAGUGAAAUUGAACUCGCUGUGAAGAUGCAGUGUACCCGCGGCAAGACGGAAAGACCCCGUGAACCUUUACUAUAGCUUGACACUGAACAUUGAGCCUUGAUGUGUAGGAUAGGUGGGAGGCUUAGAAGUGUGGACGCCAGUCUGCAUGGAGCCGACCUUGAAAUACCACCCUUUAAUGUUUGAUGUUCUAACGUUGACCCGUAAUCCGGGUUGCGGACAGUGUCUGGUGGGUAGUUUGACUGGGGCGGUCUCCUCCUAAAGAGUAACGGAGGAGCACGAAGGUUGGCUAAUCCUGGUCGGACAUCAGGAGGUUAGUGCAAUGGCAUAAGCCAGCUUGACUGCGAGCGUGACGGCGCGAGCAGGUGCGAAAGCAGGUCAUAGUGAUCCGGUGGUUCUGAAUGGAAGGGCCAUCGCUCAACGGAUAAAAGGUACUCCGGGGAUAACAGGCUGAUACCGCCCAAGAGUUCAUAUCGACGGCGGUGUUUGGCACCUCGAUGUCGGCUCAUCACAUCCUGGGGCUGAAGUAGGUCCCAAGGGUAUGGCUGUUCGCCAUUUAAAGUGGUACGCGAGCUGGGUUUAGAACGUCGUGAGACAGUUCGGUCCCUAUCUGCCGUGGGCGCUGGAGAACUGAGGGGGGCUGCUCCUAGUACGAGAGGACCGGAGUGGACGCAUCACUGGUGUUCGGGUUGUCAUGCCAAUGGCACUGCCCGGUAGCUAAAUGCGGAAGAGAUAAGUGCUGAAAGCAUCUAAGCACGAAACUUGCCCCGAGAUGAGUUCUCCCUGACCCCUUAAGAGUCCUGAAGGAACGUUGAAGACGACGACGUUGAUAGGCCGGGUGUGUAAGCGCAGCGAUGCGUUGAGCUAACCGGUACUAAUGAACCGUGAGGCUUAACCUU